This 411-nucleotide ribosomal RNA is filed under the name bacterium M5A-314-16S. RNAcentral describes it as "bacterial SSU rRNA". It matches the Rfam family "Bacterial small subunit ribosomal RNA", at positions 82 to 507 of the family's 1533-position model. The record is from RNAcentral.
CGGGGGUACACGAGCGGCGAACGGGUGAGUAACACGUGAGCAACCUACCCUCAACUUCGGGAUAAGCCUCGGAAACGGGGUCUAAUACCGGAUAUCACUUCCUGCCUCAUGGUGGGGGGUUGAAAGUUCUGGCGGUUGGGGAUGGGCUCGCGGCCUAUCAGCUUGUUGGUGGGGUAAUGGCCUACCAAGGCGUCGACGGGUAGCCGGCCUGAGAGGGCGACCGGCCACACUGGGACUGAGACACGGCCCAGACUCCUACGGGAGGCAGCAGUGGGGAAUAUUGCGCAAUGGACGAAAGUCUGACGCAGCAACGCCGCGUGAGGGAUGACGGCCUUCGGGUUGUAAACCUCUUUCAGCAGGGACGAAGCGAGAGUGACGGUACCUGCAGAAGAAGGACCGGCCAACUACGUG